RNAcentral lists this ribosomal RNA (466 nucleotides) under uncultured bacterium. RNAcentral's name for it is "partial 16S ribosomal RNA". It matches the Rfam family "Bacterial small subunit ribosomal RNA", at positions 28 to 507 of the family's 1533-position model. The record is from RNAcentral.
GACGAACGCUGGCGGCGUGCUUAACACAUGCAAGUCGAACGGAAAGGCCCUGCUUGCCGGGUACUCGAGUGGCGAACGGGUGAGUAACACGUGGGUGAUCUGCCCUUCACUUCGGGAUAAGCUUGGGAAACUGGGUCUAAUACCGGAUAGGAACCAUCUUUAGUGUGGUGGUUGGAAAGUUUUUUCGGUGUAGGAUGAGCUCGCGGCCUAUCAGCUUGUUGGUGGGGUAAUGGCCUACCAAGGCGGCGACGGGUAGCCGGCCUGAGAGGGUGUACGGCCACAUGGGGACUGAGAUACGGCCCAGACUCCUACGGGAGGCAGCAGUGGGGAAUAUUGCACAAUGGGCGCAAGCCUGAUGCAGCGACGCCGCGUGGGGGAUGAAGGCCUUCGGGUUGUAAACUCCUUUCGCUAGGGACGAAGCUUUGUUGUGACGGUACCUAGAGAAGAAGCACCGGCUAACUACGUG